UGGGGAAUUUUGGACAAUGGGCGAAAGCCUGAUCCAGCAAUGCCGCGUGUGUGAAGAAGGCCUUCGGGUUGUAAAGCACUUUUGUCCGGAAAGAAAUCCUCUGGGUUAAUACCUCGGGGGGAUGACGGUACCGGAAGAAUAAGCACCGGCUAACUACGUGCCAGCAGCCGCGGUAAUACGUAGGGUGCAAGCGUUAAUCGGAAUUACUGGGCGUAAAGCGUGCGCAGGCGGUUUUGUAAGACGGAUGUGAAAUCCCCGGGCUUAACCUGGGAACUGCAUUCGUGACUGCAAGGCUAGAGUAUGGCAGAGGGGGGUAGAAUUCCACGUGUAGCAGUGAAAUGCGUAGAGAUGUGGAGGAAUACCGAUGGCGAAGGCAGCCCCCUGGGCCAAUACUGACGCUCAUGCACGAAAGCGUGGGGAGCAAACAGGAUUAGAUACCCUGGUAGUCCACGCCCUAAAACGAUGUCAACUAGUUGUUGGGGAUUCAUUUCCUUAGUAACGUAGCUAACGCGUGAAGUUGACCGCCUGGGGAGUACGGUCGCAAGAUUAAAACUCAAAGGAAUUGAC
RNAcentral lists this ribosomal RNA (567 nucleotides) under uncultured bacterium. RNAcentral describes it as "partial 16S ribosomal RNA". It matches the Rfam family "Bacterial small subunit ribosomal RNA", at positions 355 to 914 of the family's 1533-position model. The record is from RNAcentral.